Molecule: long non-coding RNA, 1082 nt
Organism: Lolium rigidum
Lineage: Eukaryota; Viridiplantae; Streptophyta; Magnoliopsida; Poales; Poaceae
Exons: 2
Source: RefSeq, a predicted model, not a curated record
GAGGCGGAGCUACCGGCGGGAGGAGAUGGAUCCAGCCUAGCUGCUCCCACAUGAGAUCGCCGCCGUUCUUGCAGACUGACCAGCGCCGCCAACUACUUCCGUUCCGAUCUCCGAACACACCGCUGAGGGCAACUUCAACUUUACCUCUACCGCUGACCAAAAACCACACAUGGAUAUCGAAACUGAUUCUGAUGAUGAUGAUGAAAAUAGGGAUGCUGAUUUCGAGAUCUUAGAGCAUCCACAUGUGGAGCAUGUACAAGAUAAUCAGGUCAACCAAAGGCAGGUUGUGUUGGAGGCUGGGUUGGAGCAUGUAGUGGCUACUCAAACACAAGCUAGUGUGACAAAUGUAGAGGUGAAUCAAAGAAAUGGUGCUGGUCCCUCAACAAACAAGCCAAGAAAACGCAAGAGCAGCCCCAAGAUGAAACCUAAGAGUACUGGAGAUGCAUUAGUUGGAGUCAUUGACCGGUUUGUCAACAUCAAAGAGAAAGAAGUCAACAAUGAAGCUGCUCAACAAUUCACCAUAAGCAAAUGCAUCGCUGCCUUGAGAACCUUGGAAGGUUUUGAUCCCGCUGAAAAACCAAAAGCCUUUGUGGUCUUCAAAAGUUUUGAUAAGCAAAUAUGAAUUCUUUUCUUCUUCUUUCUGAAUGUGAUGUGGAUAUAUGGUGUGAUAUUUGUCAUAUAGGAUUGUUUUAUUUGCGCCAUGAUCUGUUACUAUAUGCUAUUCACAGUAUACAUGACAUGGUAGAAGUAGCCGCUCCCUGUAGCUUUGUGACUCCCUGUAGUCACUUUGUUAUUAGUAGUCACUUUGUCCCAGACAUACCUGAUGGCAACAUUUGUUUGGGAACCUGCAACUGUGAAGACAUGAGCUGAGAUUCUUUGGUUGACAAGUAUAUCAUUGGAAUUGUUCAACUUACCCCCAUUCCUUGUUUCAACUGCCUGUACACUGAAAACAUUAAGUUUCAACCGGCUGUUGAGCUCACCUCUCCUGUACCAGUGCUUAAAUUCUUUGUCGGUUUAAUGUAUCAGAAUCAUACUUUGAUCCUAAUUUCUCAUGCAACCUAGGUUGUUUAUAUGUUGGUUUA